RNAcentral lists this long non-coding RNA (549 nucleotides) under Salmo salar (Atlantic salmon). RNAcentral describes it as "lncRNA (ENSSSAG00000105358.1)". The record is from RNAcentral. Lineage: Eukaryota; Metazoa; Chordata; Actinopteri; Salmoniformes; Salmonidae.
CGCCUGUCUGGCCCAGUUUAUAUCACCCAGAUUAGAUUAGGUUCUGUUCACCUGUCUGGUCCAGCCUAUAAUCACCCAGCCCUAGAUUAGGUUCUGUUCACCUGUCUGGCCCAGCCUAUAAUCACCCAGCCCUAGAUUAGGUUCUGUUCGGUUCUGUUCACCUGUCUGGCCCAGCCUAUAAUCACCCAGCCCUAGAUUAGGUUCUGUUCGGUUCUGUUCACCUGUCUGGCCCAGCCUAUAUCACCCAGCCCUAGAUUAGGUUCUGUUCGGUUCUGUUCACCUGUCUGGCCCAGCCUAUAAUCACCCAGAUUAGGUUAUGUUCGCCUGUCUGGCCCAGCCUAUAUCACCCAGAUUAGAUUAGGUUCUGUUCACCUGUCUGGCCCAGCCUAUAAUCACCCAGAUUAGAUUAGGUUCUGUUCACCUGUCUGGCCCAGCCUAUAAUCACCCAGAUUAGAUUAGGUUCUGUUCACCUGUCUGGCCCAGCCUAUAAUCACCCAGAUUAGAUUAGGUUCUGUUCACCUGUCUGGCCCAGCCUAUAAUCACCCAGAU